RNAcentral lists this small nucleolar RNA (212 nucleotides) under Zalophus californianus (California sea lion). Its description in RNAcentral is "Small nucleolar RNA U3 (ENSZCAG00015021331.1)". It matches the Rfam family "Small nucleolar RNA U3". Rfam says of the family: Small nucleolar RNAs (snoRNAs) are involved in the processing and modification of rRNA in the nucleolus. There are two main classes of snoRNAs: the box C/D class, and the box H/ACA class. The record is from RNAcentral. Lineage: Eukaryota; Metazoa; Chordata; Mammalia; Carnivora; Otariidae.
AAGACUGUAUUUUCAGGGAUCGUUUCUAUAGUUUGUUACUGGAGAAGUUUCUCUGAACUGUCUAGAGCCUCAGAAACCACGAGGAAGAUGCAGUGUUCUCUCUCAAGUGUGAAGCCGGGUCUUGGUGUUGCUUCUGCAACUGCCAUUUGUCAUCCAUAAUUGUCCUUCUCUUCCUUCGGGAGAGCGAGAGGGAGAGGAUGGUGCAGAGUGGU